AAAUGACUGACCUCUGUACAGUUCAGAGACACAGUUCCUAGGCCCUGCCAAUCCACGAAGAUGAAUUCCUGAGCUGUCACUUGAGCCCUUUGAAAACAACCUCUUUGACAGUUAAAACGAAUUGGCAGAGGAGACAUAUGAGCAUUGUAGCUUUCAGAUUGAUGAGGUAUUUGAGAGAGAGCAAGUUACUCAUCUUGGAUCAAGAGGAAUUACCAGAGUGCAAUUUCUCUCCCUGGGAAGCGGAUCCUGUUGCUGAAGCUAACACGACUCCUUAUGUCACAAGCAAUUAAUCAGCAUGCAGGGCCUCCAGGGUUGUUCUGUCAGGAGGCAGUGUUGCUGCUACAGUCAAGUAAUGCAUGAGUGUCAUCCUUUUAAGUCAUAAAGAAUAUGUAAAAAUAUGCCUCAUUUUCCUAAGCAGAGCAGGAGGCACCCAGAGCAGUUUCCAGGUUUCCAAGCAUCCUUAUGGUGGGGACUUCCUCAUCAGGACAGAGCUACAUAAGUUUUUAUCGUAUCAUCCUGCUCUUCCUUCUCCAGCCUAAACAGGCACUGUCUGAUCUCACCAUAAAACUGUUUCUAUACUUAAUUGUGUUUAGAAAUGGAGGCCAAGAUUAAAAUCUUUUGUCUGAAUAUCCAAGUUUUUACUGGUUUGCACUGUGUCUUGGUCAUUCUGUUAUUUCUGCAGGACAGCACUAAAUGUAAUUCAUCCGAGACGUACAAACAAAUGAACAAACAAAACUGUAUUUUUGCUGUUCUUUAUGAACUGGCAUAUCCCUGGAAAAAUUUUGGUUACCUGGCCUUAAAUACUGAGUCAUCCACUUCAGUUGAGUUUCCACCUGCCUCAGGUAUACUGGGAGAUUGACUGCUUUUCAUUGCUUAGCAGUUUUACUGCAAUUCCACUCUAAUUACACUUAGAAUAUGUAUUUUUAAAGAGUAUAAUUAGCCUUAAGUUUAUGACUGGAGUUAUUAACUUUCUCUUCUUAAUGGAACAGAAUUUAACCUGUAGACAUACUGGAAUUAUUCUGACAAUUUUUGUAACACUUGCAUACAUAUUAAUGCAAAAUAAAACUUUUUAAACAAUUAUGAUGUAAGGUAAGUUGCACAGCGGGAUGCUAAAAAUAAAAUUCCUCAAU
Long non-coding RNA from Gallus gallus (chicken), 1130 nucleotides. NCBI's taxonomy places the organism in Eukaryota, Metazoa, Chordata, Aves, Galliformes, Phasianidae. The record is from Ensembl.